This 1023-nucleotide long non-coding RNA is filed under the name Salmo salar (Atlantic salmon). RNAcentral describes it as "lncRNA (ENSSSAG00000106094.1)". The record is from RNAcentral. Lineage: Eukaryota; Metazoa; Chordata; Actinopteri; Salmoniformes; Salmonidae.
AUCAGCAUCAUAAAUGGUAUGAACCAGACAGACAUUCAGCUCUGUUUAACACUGGUCCUAGAUCAGUUAUAUAUAUAUAUAUAUAUCACCUCUCUAAUGGUGACCUGUUCAACACUGGUCCUAGAUCAGUUAUAUAUAUCACCUCUCUAAUGGUGACCCGUUAGGACUGAUCCUAGAUCAAUCAGUUAUAUAUAUAUAUCACCUCUCUAAUGGUGACCUGUUAGGACUGGAGGGAGGAAACUGAUUCUAGAUCAGUUAUUAACAUUUACAUUUUAGUUAUUUUAGCAGACGCUCUUAUCCAGAGCGACUUACAGUAGUGAAUGCAUACAUUUCAGACAUUUCCCCCCCACGUAUUGGUCCCCCGUGGGAAUCGAACCCACAACCCUGGCGUUGCAAACACCCAUGCUCUACCAACUGAGCCACACGGGACCCAUAUAUAUAUAUCUAUCUCUCACCCCUCGUUAGGACUGGAGGGCUGUUCCUAGAUUCAAAUCCGAUCUCCUCUUUUCGGCUGUGCACCUUAUUAAAAGGUAAAGUUUCCACGUUAACAGUAGGCUCAAUCCUAAAUUACCUUUUGGGUUUUUUUUAAAGGUGAACUAUAACCCGGAUCUUCUGCGGAUCAGAUUGAAUCUAGCCAAGGGCUAUUUCUUUCUGGUCCUGGAGGGACGAAACACUACUGGUUCUCAUCCUCUACCUCUAAUCCGAGACUCGUUCAGACCCGAGACUCGUUCAGAUCUGGGGACAACAGGUUGAGACUCGUUCAGAUCUGGGGACAUCAGGUAGAGAGACUCAUUCAGACCUGGGGACAUCAGGUAGAGAGACUCAUUCAGACCUGGGGACAUCAGGUAGAGAGACUCAUUCAGACCUGGGGACAUCAGGUAGAGAGACUCAUUCAGACCUGGGGACAUCAGGUAGAGAGACUCAUUCAGACCUGGGGACAUCAGGUAGAGAGACUCAUUCAGACCUGGGGACAUCAGGUAGAGAGACUCAUUCAGACCUGGGGACAUCAGGUAGAGAGACUCA